This 2759-nucleotide long non-coding RNA is filed under the name Nicotiana benthamiana. RNAcentral describes it as "long non-coding RNA (NBEN_LNC041914)". The record is from RNAcentral. Lineage: Eukaryota; Viridiplantae; Streptophyta; Magnoliopsida; Solanales; Solanaceae.
UAUGAGCAGGAUAUCUGUAUGAUAUGCUAAAUUCCUAUGAGAAGGAUAUCUAUAUGAUAUGCAGAAUUCCUACGAGCAUGAUAUCUAUGUAGAAUUCUUAUACACUUGGUUUUUGCGUAUAAAAGUGCAAAAAUUCAGAGAAAAACACCUAUAGGCAGGAUAUCUACCCUUAUGCAUACAUGAAUGACCCUCCCCUCUUUUUGCUAAAACCCCAUAAGUUAUUACAGAAUUAAAUAAAAAAAAUUACAUCAGAACUUUAAGCUACAUCCAAGGAGCCUAAUUCAAACUCAAGGUCUAACAAUAUGAGAUGAAUCAACUGUCGGGAUCAGGUUCUAAAGCCUUUCUCUUAUCUGGAGUGUGUCAAAGUUCCACAGAGUUUCAAGGACUCUAGGCAAUGCUUACACCCAGAUAUAAUUACAUAGCUGAAUUAAAGUGCAGCGUGGAAGGUCAAACCUCAAACAUCCAAGUUCAGAGGGAACUCAAGGUCCCAAGGCAAGGCUCAUUGGAGGGGCAAAUAUUAGGAUCGAGGAACAAGUGUAAGUGCAGUAGAGGGGAAAUGGCAAGCUGGUGGUCAUGCCAAGCAUUUUUGGGGUGCUGGCACACCCCUAACCAGCUUGUUAUUUUCAAAUUGAGGAGUUAGGACCUGUUGCAGGUCAGGUUCAGACCUGGAUAGCCAUUUAAAAGCUGCCACACCAUAAAUUUCAACUCAGCAUACAUAGGGAAAUAGGUAUAUGGGAUUCAUAGUAAACGCAGAAUACAAAUAAAGAGUAGGCAAAGAGCAUGCUCACCAAUGAAGCAUACUGGCACACCCCUAACUUACUUGGGGUCAAAAUUCAGUUCAUGGACAACAAUUUAUGUUGACAUGACCUGAAUCCUCAUAGACACAUAGAGGGUAAUGGGAUAUGGGAGCAAAUGUUUACAAGAAAGUAAAGCAAGCAGUAGCACAUUGGCAUUAAGGUCAAGUUCUGCAGGAAAUAGUCAUGGAUAUAAAAAUUAUAAGUAAACACAUUGGGAUGAUGCUGUGAAUUGAAUAAAUAAAAGAGACAAGUAAAAGAAGGCAACAGUCCUGUGAAAGCCGAAGUGCGGACAAGAAAGUUCAGAAGAGGUUGUGAGAAUUAUAACUAUGAAGUCUGAAGUGUAUUCAGUUGUGUAUUGAAAGUGUGUUUGUGAAAAAGAGGCCGUGCUUUUUAUAAUGUAGAAGGAAAGCAGAAAUAAGUCAAGAGAAUAGUUUGAAAAUCGAUUGUCAAUCAAUUGCAUAAGGUUUCCCUUUAAUUAAGGGAUUCUGAUUUCAAACGGUAAAACUAAUUAAGGAACUAAAUUAAUCAAACACUUUGUGUAAGGUAGUAUAAUAGGGUUAAAUACUUAAAGGUCUAUUUAAGGACAAGGUCUUGACAAUACACGGUUUGUGAAAAUAAGGUAAAUGAAUUAGUUAACGACCGGGAAAUCAGAAGUCAAAGAUUUUAUAUGAAUAAAUCCAGUUAGAAAAGGUGAAGAAAAUGUUUUACUUGGGGAAAAUCAGUAACAAUCAACUCAAAUUCAAAAAAGGAUUAUGAUUUAAUCAUAAGUUUGAAAACCUUUUAAAAAAGGGUUGAACACACAUAUAAAGCAUACAUGCAUGCUUAAACAUGAAGGAAUUCGUCAUAUUAUUCAACAAAAGAGUCUAGUCUAAGAGAAUCACAAUUGUAUGCAAACAAAGAAGUUCAAACCUAGUUCAGAGACUCAGGACUUAGUCUAAAAAAGUCAAGGGUUCUAUAAACCCUAGUUUAAUCAUAGGAUUAAACCUUGGCAGAACCCCCAAAUUCUAGGGUUUCCUCCUCUAACCAAAUACGGAGACGAAGAGGCAAGUACUUGAAACAGGCUCAGAGAUCUCCUUUAGAGACUCAUGAGAAAACAAACAAGUACAGUAGAAGGUUCAAAGAAAACAGGGUGAAGAAACUGAUUCGAAGCAUAAUGAGAGUAGAUUAAACAGUAGAAGAAAACAUGCUUUAAACAGGUCUUUUAAAAAAACUUAAAAUAGGUAAAGUAGAGGAGAAAACAGUAAACACUUAAGCACACGGUAGAAGGAUACAACAUGAGAAGCAUAUUAGAAAAAUAGCAGAACAUAGUGGGAAAGCAUGUGAGAACAUAGCAUAGAAAACACAGAAGAAGAAAAGAAAUGGAACAUAGUAGAAGAACAUGUGUGAAAACAUAAGAACACAGUAGAAGAAUAUGCGUGGUAGAUAAGAAAACAUAAGAACAUAUUACAGACAAAUACAAACAAGGGAAAGGAGAAGAAAAGUCAGAGAAACAUUUUGAAAAUUCUAGAAAACCCUAAAUCGGGAAGAAGUAACUUUUGAAAGUAAUUUUGAAAGAAAAGUUGGGAAAACUAUUAAAAAAACUCAAAAAGAGCAGGUAUACACAUAUAUAUAACAAAAUUGGAAAAAAUCUAGAAUAGUUAUGAUUUAAGCAGAACCCUAAAGUGAGAAAGGCUUGGAAAAGGUCCGAUCUAAGUCAGAAAAGGCCCAGAAGACCAAGAGCCACCGGAGCAAGGCCGAAGAUGGUCAGAAUCCUCGAAUCGGUGAAGGCCUGAGUGAAGACCUUUGAAGUCUGUCCUCGAUCCUUUAAUCAUCAGGCAUGUAGGAGCCGUAGGAGGUGAGUAUAGGCUGUCCAUGGCUUGAGAAGCCAUGGAUUCCAGUGAGUUUAAAGGUGGAGAUGGUAGAAGGAGGCUAGGGUUUGAGGGGGUGUUGAGAGAGAAAUGAGAGAGAAUGCAUUCAGAAGCC